This is a long non-coding RNA of Octopus sinensis (East Asian common octopus), 1244 nucleotides long. RefSeq lists it as uncharacterized. The record is from RefSeq and is a predicted model, not a curated record. NCBI's taxonomy places the organism in Eukaryota, Metazoa, Mollusca, Cephalopoda, Octopoda, Octopodidae. The transcript has 2 exons.
AGACAGAUAGAUAGAUAGAUAGAUAGAUAGAUAGAUAGAUAGAUAGAUAGAUAGAUAGAUAGAUUGAUUGAUACUCUUUGAAUUAAAGCGUUUAGACUUGCAGAGCAGUUUAAAUUAAGGAAUCAUUUCUCAUGAUAUUUCCUUUGAAUUAUGGACAACUAGUAACAAUAUAGCUAAUAAGAUGAAUAAAUAUUUCAUAAAUGCAUUCCAUAUAAAAUUAUUUAAGAUAACAGAAACAAUACGUAUAAUUUUACCCCUAGCCUUACUGGCACUACCAUUCAUCAAAGAUGUCAUUCUUGGUUAAAUUCAUAACUUGUAUAAAUGUCUCGUUAUGUAAUGACCACUUUCAGUAUGCAUAUAUGUUGCUUAUCGUUUACUAAUAUUUGGUGCUUUAUCUUCUGACUUCAAUGCUGUUUUUUCAUUCAUUGGAGUGAGGUGGAAAUGCCGGUCUAAUAAGUACCGACCAAGUAUUGGUGUUGAUUUAAUCUACUACACUUAUCUCCGAAUAACUUUUGACUUCGUGUUAAGGUUAGAAAUCAAUGUGUCAGUGAUAUGUAUGUAUGGUGUGAUCUUACUCAGACAAUUCUAAUGCUUUCACCAUUUUAAAUGCAGAGAAGUUUUCGAACUUAAAAAAACAGUUAAAUAAUGAUAAAAAAUUAUUCCAGUUUGAUAAAAUGUGCUACCAUUUCAAUGACACAAGUUUUACCAUUCUAAUGGAUUCUUUAGAUGUGUUCAAACACCUGAAAGCUUUCUAUUACAUCAUUAAUUAUCAUCCAUGCUAACACAUAUUGCAGCUAUUAUGUGAAUGGCUGGUGUAUGGCCUAAUGGCUAGAUUGUUGGUCUUGAUCCUGGGACCCAGUAGCACAUUGUCUCCUUGAGCAAGGUAAUCCAUUUCACAUUUCCUAAAACUGUUCAGCAACAAAUGAAUAUUAGUUAAAUUCCGAUGAAACCUUUUCUCCCUCCAGCUGCCACAUCCUAGUUGUUUUGAUGGUGGAGAGGGUGUCUAUGCCUGCUUGUAACUACAUGGGCCCCUAAACCAAUUAAAAAAGACGCAUGGCACAUACUACAAGUCCAUACUCACUUGUGAGUGAUGGCAGUGGUUUAUAUCUUCAACCUCGUUUCAGAUCCCCUUAGAAGUGAAAUAGGUAUAUAAUGCCUAUAUUAUUAAACACUUGGCUGAGGAAACCUGAAGUGGUAACUAGUCAAAACACAUCUUGCUUUUUGUAAAGAUGGGACUUUAUAUU